GCUUCUUGUCCACAUAGGAGAAAAAAAAUCUCACCCUCCCUCCCUUCUCCUCCCCUCUGCUCCGACAGACAUCGCUUUCCUCGUGCGGUGGCACGCUGCUCAACGGUGGGCACAAGGGAUCUAUCUAGGCCACGAAGGUAGACAGCGGCGGCGGCAGCACACGAGAGGUGCAACGGCGGGUGCACGGUGACGGCACACCCCUCAAGGCUUGAUGUUCUGCGGCGCCUGACCUCUUCCAAUUGCGCCUGACCUCUUCGUGUUCUGCCGCCCCUCAAGGUGAUGCGUUCAUGAGGUAAAAAUUAGUUCUUGAUAUUAGAAUUUUUCCUUCUAGCACAUAUAUUUUCUUUUCUUUGUUAAGGAUCUCAUUGUUGUUUUGUCUUCUCAAGCUGCGGGAUUCCGAUGGAGCGGUGUGAUGUUGCUAGGAAGAAUGGAAGUUGUUGUUUCAUGAAUUCCAGAUGUGGAAAUUGCUUCUUCUCUAGGCUACAUCAUAACUAGCGAUAAAUAAUUGACUCUGGUAUAUUGUCGUAUAUCAGGAUAUACUAACUUAAAAAACAUAGUCCUAUGCAUGCAUAACUUCUUGGACUGUUAACGUUUUGCCAUUGUCCGUUAGUCCAUCACCAUACUGAGAGCACGAUGCAGCAUCUGAAUUUUGUCAUGACAAUAAUUUAAUUCAGCAUUUUAGUUGUUAUCCCUUUAACUGCUUCCCAAUUUUAGGAGUCCUCAGCUUUGUACUAGGCACAAAUAUUCCAUUAAAAUCUUCUACUUAUGUAUUUGUAAUGAUUUCCCAAUGAUUUUGCGAGAGCUUAUAUAAAAGGCUUAAAGCUGCAAUUUUGGCAUAUGUCAAGCCAACGGAAGCAUUGUAUCUUGAAGUUUCGCUUCAUACCGUUGUUUACUUUCUAUGUAAAAUCUUGGUUUAUGGGCUUAGUAAAAGAUUAAAAUUGACUACUCUUGUGAAUUUUGAUUGUUCAACUAAAACUUCCAUUUUCUGCAUGAUAAAGGGAUGAUACUCUCAAGAUGUAGCUCAA
Molecule: long non-coding RNA, 1025 nt
Filed under: Setaria italica (foxtail millet)
Lineage: Eukaryota; Viridiplantae; Streptophyta; Magnoliopsida; Poales; Poaceae
Description: long non-coding RNA (SITA_LNC003020)
Source: RNAcentral